RNAcentral lists this ribosomal RNA (499 nucleotides) under uncultured bacterium. RNAcentral describes it as "partial 16S ribosomal RNA". It matches the Rfam family "Bacterial small subunit ribosomal RNA", at positions 28 to 507 of the family's 1533-position model. The record is from RNAcentral.
GACGAACGCUGGCGGCGUGCCUAAUACAUGCAAGUCGAGCGAAUCUGAUGGGAGCUUGCUCCUUGAUGAUUAGCGGCGGACGGGUGAGUAACACGUGGGUAACCUGCCUGUAAGACUGGGAUAACUCCGGGAAACCGGGGCUAAUACCGGAUAACUUUUUUCUUCGCAUGAGGGAGAAUUGAAAGAUGGCUUCGGCUAUCACUUACAGAUGGACCCGCGGCGCAUUAGCUAGUUGGUGAGGUAACGGCUCACCAAGGCGACGAUGCGUAGCCGACUUGAGAGGGUGAUCGGCCACACUGGGACUGAGACACGGCCCAGACUCCUACGGGAGGCAGCAGUAGGGAAUCUUCCGCAAUGGACGAAAGUCUGACGGAGCAACGCCGCGUGAGUGAUGAAGGUUUUCGGAUCGUAAAACUCUGUUGUUAGGGAAGAACAAGUAUCGUUCGAAUAGGGCGGUACCUUUACGGUACCUAACCAGAAAGCCACGGCUAACUACGUG